This 433-nucleotide ribosomal RNA is filed under the name uncultured bacterium. RNAcentral describes it as "partial 16S ribosomal RNA". It matches the Rfam family "Bacterial small subunit ribosomal RNA", at positions 29 to 507 of the family's 1533-position model. The record is from RNAcentral.
AACGAACGCUGGCGGCAUGCCUAACACAUGCAAGUCGAACGAGACCUUCGGGUCUAGUGGCGCACGGGUGCGUAACGCGUGGGAACCUGCCCUUAGGUUCGGAAUAACUCCCCGAAAGGGGUGCUAAUACCGGAUAAUGUCUUCGGACCAAAGAUUUAUCGCCUUUGGAUGGGCCCGCGUUGGAUUAGCUAGUUGGUAGGGUAAAAGCCUACCAAGGCGACGAUCCAUAGCUGGUCUGAGAGGAUGAUCAGCCACACUGGGACUGGGACACGGCCCAGACUCCUACGAGGGGCAGCAGUGGGGAAUAUUGGACAAUGGGCGAGAGCAUGAUCCAGCAAGGCCGCGUGGGUGAUGAAGGCCUUAGGGUUGUAAAGCUCUUUUACCCGGGAUGAUAAUGACAGUACCGGGAGAAUAAGCUCCGGCUAACUCCGUG